This 325-nucleotide RNase P RNA is filed under the name Clostridia bacterium. RNAcentral's name for it is "partial RNase P RNA component class A". It matches the Rfam family "Bacterial RNase P class A", at positions 1 to 318 of the family's 367-position model. From Rfam's summary of the family: Ribonuclease P (RNase P) is a ubiquitous endoribonuclease, found in archaea, bacteria and eukarya as well as chloroplasts and mitochondria. Its best characterised activity is the generation of mature 5'-ends of tRNAs by cleaving the 5'-leader elements of precursor-tRNAs. The record is from RNAcentral. Lineage: Bacteria; Bacillati; Bacillota; Clostridia.
CGAGUUCGCCGGACGGUCGCGCGGUAUCAUGCCGAAAGGUUUUACCGUGAGGAAAGUCCGGGCUUCACAGGGCAGGAUAGCUGAUAACGUCAGCCGCGGGUGACCGCCGGGAAAGUGCAACAGAAAUAAACCGCCGGGGCGCAAGCCCGGGCAAGGGUGGAAAGGCGAGGUAAGAGCUCACCAGUUCGCACGGUAACGUGCGUCCGCUGUAAACCCUAUCCGAAGCAACACCGCAUGGGGAUCGUUUGCCCGACACAUAUCCCCGGGUGGCACCGGGAUUAUUCCCGGGAGCGGCGCGGCGACGCUCCGCACAGACAGAUGACCG